UGGAAGCGUCUGGAAAGGCGCGCGAUACAGGGUGACAGCCCCGUACACAAAAAUGCACAUGCUGUGAGCUCGAUGAGUAGGGCGGGACACGUGGUAUCCUGUCUGAAUAUGGGGGGACCAUCCUCCAAGGCUAAAUACUCCUGACUGACCGAUAGUGAACCAGUACCGUGAGGGAAAGGCGAAAAGAACCCCGGCGAGGGGAGUGAAAAAGAACCUGAAACCGUGUACGUACAAGCAGUGGGAGCACGCUUAGGCGUGUGACUGCGUACCUUUUGUAUAAUGGGUCAGCGACUUAUAUUCUGUAGCAAGGUUAACCGAAUAGGGGAGCCGAAGGGAAACCGAGUCUUAACUGGGCGUUAAGUUGCAGGGUAUAGACCCGAAACCCGGUGAUCUAGCCAUGGGCAGGUUGAAGGUUGGGUAACACUAACUGGAGGACCGAACCGACUAAUGUUGAAAAAUUAGCGGAUGACUUGUGGCUGGGGGUGAAAGGCCAAUCAAACCGGGAGAUAGCUGGUUCUCCCCGAAAGCUAUUUAGGUAGCGCCUCGUGAAUUCAUCUCCGGGGGUAGAGCACUGUUUCGGCAAGGGGGUCAUCCCGACUUACCAACCCGAUGCAAACUGCGAAUACCGGAGAAUGUUAUCACGGGAGACACACGGCGGGUGCUAACGUCCGUCGUGAAGAGGGAAACAACCCAGACCGCCAGCUAAGGUCCCAAAGUCAUGGUUAAGUGGGAAACGAUGUGGGAAGGCCCAGACAGCCAGGAUGUUGGCUUAGAAGCAGCCAUCAUUUAAAGAAAGCGUAAUAGCUCACUGGUCGAGUCGGCCUGCGCGGAAGAUGUAACGGGGCUAAACCAUGCAC
This 857-nucleotide ribosomal RNA is filed under the name Escherichia coli. RNAcentral's name for it is "partial 23S ribosomal RNA". It matches the Rfam family "Bacterial large subunit ribosomal RNA", at positions 333 to 1194 of the family's 2925-position model. Lineage: Bacteria; Pseudomonadati; Pseudomonadota; Gammaproteobacteria; Enterobacterales; Enterobacteriaceae. The record is from RNAcentral.